GACGAACGCUGGCGGCGUGCCUAAUACAUGCAAGUUGAGCGAUGAAGCUUGGUGCUUGCACCAAUUUGAAGAGCAGCGAACGGGUGAGUAACGCGUGGGGAAUCUGCCUUUGAGCGGGGGACAACAUUUGGAAACGAAUGCUAAUACCGCAUAACAACUUUAAACAUAAGUUUUAAGUUUGAAAGAUGCAAUUGCAUCACUCAAAGAUGAUCCCGCGUUGUAUUAGCUAGUUGGUGAGGUAAAGGCUCACCAAGGCGAUGAUACAUAGCCGACCUGAGAGGGGGAUCGGCCACAUUGGGACUGGGACACGGCCCAAGACUCUAAGGGAGGGAGCAGGAGGGGAACUUCGGGAAAGGACGAAAGGCUGACCGAGGAACGCCGCGGGAGUGAAGAAGGGUUUCGGGUCGUAAAAAUCUGUUGGUAGGGAAGAACGUUGGUGGGGGUGGAAAGCGCAUGAAGUGAUGGUAACUACUCAGAAAGGGACGGCUAACUACGUG
RNAcentral lists this ribosomal RNA (497 nucleotides) under uncultured bacterium. Its description in RNAcentral is "partial 16S ribosomal RNA". It matches the Rfam family "Bacterial small subunit ribosomal RNA", at positions 28 to 507 of the family's 1533-position model. The record is from RNAcentral.